CCUACGGGAGGCAGCAGUAGGGAAUCUUUCACAAUGGGCGAAAGCCUGAUGGAGCAACGCCGCGUGCAGGAUGAAGGCCUUCGGGUUGUAAACUGCUUUUAUAAGCGAGAAAUAUGAUGGUAACUUAUGAAUAAGGAUCGGCUAACUACGUUCCAGCAGCCGCGGUCAUACGUAGGAUCCGAGCAUUAUCCGGAGUGACUGGGUGUAAAGAGUUGCGUAGGUGGCAUAAUAAGUAGCUAGUGAAAUCUGGUGGCUCAACCAUUCAGACUAUUAGCUACACUGGUAAGCUCGAGACCGUUAGGGGUAACUGGAAUUUCUAGUGUAGGAGUGAAAUCCGUAGAUAUUAGAAGGAACACCAAUAGCGUAGGCAGGUUGCUGGGACGGUUCUGACACUAAGGCACGAAAGCGUAGGGAGCAAACGGGAUUAGAUACCCGGGUAGUC
This 442-nucleotide ribosomal RNA is filed under the name uncultured bacterium. RNAcentral describes it as "partial 16S ribosomal RNA". It matches the Rfam family "Bacterial small subunit ribosomal RNA", at positions 338 to 795 of the family's 1533-position model. The record is from RNAcentral.